RNAcentral lists this ribosomal RNA (497 nucleotides) under uncultured bacterium. Its description in RNAcentral is "partial 16S ribosomal RNA". It matches the Rfam family "Bacterial small subunit ribosomal RNA", at positions 28 to 507 of the family's 1533-position model. The record is from RNAcentral.
GACGAACGCUGGCGGCGUGCCUAAUACAUGCAAGUUGAGCGAUGAAGAUUGGUGCUUGCACCAAUUUGAAGAGCAGCGAACGGGUGAGUAACGCGUGGGGAAUCUGCCUUUGAGCGGGGGACAACAUUUGGAAACGAAUGCUAAUACCGCAUAACAACUUUAAACAUAAGUUUUAAGUUUGAAAGAUGCAAUUGCAUCACUCAAAGAUGAUCCCGCGUUGUAUUAGCUAGUUGGUGAGGUAAAGGCUCACCAAGGCGAUGAUACAUAGCCGACCUGAGAGGGUGAUCGGCCACAUUGGGACUGAGACAAGGCCCAAACUCCUACGGGAGGCAGCAGUAGGGAAUCUUCGGCAAUGGACGAAAGUCUGACCGAGCAACGCCGCGUGAGUGAAGAAGGUUUUCGGAUCGUAAAACUCUGUUGGUAGAGAAGAACGUUGGUGAGAGUGGAAAGCUCAUCAAGUGACGGUAACUACCCAGAAAGGGACGGCUAACUACGUG